AUGAGAAGCAGUUCUGUUGUCCGAACAUUGAUUAUCCAUACGGGUGGCGUAAGUGUCGUUUCAGAGAGUGGUUGUAUGGUCCUUUGUCCCAUUGGUCAGAGCCAGAGGUAAAGAAAAAGA
This is a long non-coding RNA of Zea mays, 120 nucleotides long. RefSeq lists it as uncharacterized. Lineage: Eukaryota; Viridiplantae; Streptophyta; Magnoliopsida; Poales; Poaceae. The record is from RefSeq and is a predicted model, not a curated record. The transcript is spliced from 2 exons.